GACGGAGGGUGCCAGCGUUGCUCGGAAUGAUUGGGCAUAAAGGGUCGGUAGGUGGUUUCAUCAGUCUUAGGUGAAAGCCUUGAACUUAAUUCAAGAAUGGCCUAAGAAACAAUGAGACUAGAGGUCAGGAGAGGGUCGUGGAAUUCCCGGUGGAGCGGUGAAAUGCGUAGAUAUCAGGAGGAACACCGGUGGCGAAGGCGCCUAUCUGGCCCGAUACUGACGCUGAGGCGCGAAAGCUAGGGGAGCAAACGGG
This 253-nucleotide ribosomal RNA is filed under the name uncultured bacterium. RNAcentral describes it as "partial 16S ribosomal RNA". It matches the Rfam family "Bacterial small subunit ribosomal RNA", at positions 524 to 776 of the family's 1533-position model. The record is from RNAcentral.